GAUUUAACAGGGAGGUCGAUUUAACAGGGAGGUCGAUUUAACAGGGAGGUCGAUUUAACAGGGAGGUCGAUUUAACAGGGAGGGUGAUUUCACAGGGAGGAUGAUUUAACAGGGAGGUCGAUUUAAUAGGGAGGUCGAUUUAACAGGGAGGUCGAUUUAACAGGGAGGUUGAUUUUACAGGGAGGUCGAUUUAACAGGGAGGUCGAUUUAACAGGGAGGUUGAUUUUACAGGGAGGUCGAUUUUUACGUUUUAUAUAUUCACAAACGUCUCUGUAUGCAAGUCUUUAUGUGCACAAGAAAUGUAAAAACAAACCAAACAUACACCUCAGCACAAAAUAAAGACUAAUGAAACAGAA
Long non-coding RNA from Esox lucius (northern pike), 356 nucleotides. NCBI's taxonomy places the organism in Eukaryota, Metazoa, Chordata, Actinopteri, Esociformes, Esocidae. The record is from Ensembl.